Molecule: unclassified non-coding RNA, 279 nt
Filed under: plant metagenome
Description: partial contains small subunit ribosomal RNA, internal transcribed spacer 1, and 5.8S ribosomal RNA
Source: RNAcentral
UCUCCGUUGGUGAACCAGCGGAGGGAUCAUUACAGAGUUUUCACAACUCCCAACCCUUGCUAACCCUACCCAUUCUGUUCUCGUUGCUUCCGGCCCGGGCGCCCUGGGGGCCCGACACGGCCCCCCCGCCCCGCCCGCCGCUCCCGUCUGUCUCUCCGAACCCUUUUAGUUCCACCCCCAGAAACCGUCUAACACAUCAAACACAGUAAUCCAUACUUUCAACACCGGCUCUCUUCGCUCUUGCUUCGAUGAAGACCGCUUCAGUUCGGUACCGCCCCC